CCCAGCUCUCUGCACCUGUGAAUCAAGCAGCUCCAGUCAUCCAAGGACAGAUGCCCUGAAAAAAUUUUGUUCUUCACUUCACCACCAAAUUCCAGGCUACUAUUUGGGUGAAGUAAUGAGACCAGUUGGAGGACUUAUUGAAGUAAAACUGACUCACGAAAGACCAUGGAACAGCUUUAGAGAUGAUCCAGAAGAUGAUUAAAGGACUGGAAAUGAAGACUGACAUUGAAAGGUUA
Long non-coding RNA from Eptesicus fuscus (big brown bat), 236 nucleotides. RefSeq lists it as uncharacterized. The transcript has 3 exons. The record is from RefSeq and is a predicted model, not a curated record. Lineage: Eukaryota; Metazoa; Chordata; Mammalia; Chiroptera; Vespertilionidae.